GGUUAAGCGACUAAGCGUACACGGUGGAUGCCCUGGCAGUCAGAGGCGAUGAAGGACGUGCUAAUCUGCGAAAAGCGUCGGUAAGGUGAUAUGAACCGUUAUAACCGGCGAUGUCCGAAUGGGGAAACCCAGUGCAAUUCGUUGCACUAUCGUUAACUGAAUACAUAGGUUAACGAGGCGAACCGGGGGAACUGAAACAUCUAAGUACCCCGAGGAAAAGAAAUCAACCGAGAUUCCCCCAGUAGCGGCGAGCGAACGGGGAGCAGCCCAGAGUCUGAAUCAGCUUGUGUGUUAGUGGAACGGUCUGGAAAGUCCGACGGUACAGGGUGAUAGUCCCGUACACCAAAAUGCACAGGCUGUGAACUCGAAGAGUAGGGCGGGACACGUGGUAUCCUGUCUGAAUAUGGGGGGACCAUCCUCCAAGGCUAAAUACUCCUGACUGACCGAUAGUGAACCAGUACCGUGAGGGAAAGGCGAAAAGAACCCCGGCGAGGGGAGUGAAAAAGAACCUGAAACCGUGUACGUACAAGCAGUGGGAGCACCUUCGGGUGUGACUGCGUACCUUUUGUAUAAUGGGUCAGCGACUUAUAUUCUGUAGCAAGGUUAACCGUAUAGGGGAGCCGCAGGGAAACCGAGUCUUAACUGGGCGUUAAGUUGCAGGGUAUAGACCCGAAACCCGGUGAUCUAGCCAUGGGCAGGUUGAAGGUUGGGUAACACUAACUGGAGGACCGAACCGACUAAUGUUGAAAAAUUAGCGGAUGACUUGUGGCUGGGGGUGAAAGGCCAAUCAAACCGGGAGAUAGCUGGUUCUCCCCGAAAGCUAUUUAGGUAGCGCCUCGUGAACUCAUCUUCGGGGGUAGAGCACUGUUUCGGCUAGGGGGUCAUCCCGACUUACCAACCCGAUGCAAACUACGAAUACCGAAGAAUGUUAUCACGGGAGACACACGGCGGGUGCUAACGUCCGUCGUGAAGAGGGAAACAACCCAGACCGCCAGCUAAGGUCCCAAAGUCAUGGUUAAGUGGGAAACGAUGUGGGAAGGCACAGACAGCCAGGAUGUUGGCUUAGAAGCAGCCAUCAUUUAAAGAAAGCGUAAUAGCUCACUGGUCGAGUCGGCCUGCGCGGAAGAUGUAACGGGGCUAAACCAUGCACCGAAGCUGCGGCAGCGACACUAUGUGUUGUUGGGUAGGGGAGCGUUCUGUAAGCCUGCGAAGGUGUGCUGUGAGGCAUGCUGGAGGUAUCAGAAGUGCGAAUGCUGACAUAAGUAACGAUAAAGCGGGUGAAAAGCCCGCUCGCCGGAAGACCAAGGGUUCCUGUCCAACGUUAAUCGGGGCAGGGUGAGUCGACCCCUAAGGCGAGGCCGAAAGGCGUAGUCGAUGGGAAACAGGUUAAUAUUCCUGUACUUGGUGUUACUGCGAAGGGGGGACGGAGAAGGCUAUGUUAGCCGGGCGACGGUUGUCCCGGUUUAAGCAUGUAGGCUGGUUGUCCAGGCAAAUCCGGAUAAUCAAGGCUGAGGUGUGAUGACGAGGCACUACGGUGCUGAAGUAACAAAUGCCCUGCUUCCAGGAAAAGCCUCUAAGCAUCAGGUAACAUCAAAUCGUACCCCAAACCGACACAGGUGGUCAGGUAGAGAAUACCAAGGCGCUUGAGAGAACUCGGGUGAAGGAACUAGGCAAAAUGGUGCCGUAACUUCGGGAGAAGGCACGCUGGUGUGUAGGUGAAGCCCCUGCGGGUGGAGCUGAGACCAGUCGAAGAUACCAGCUGGCUGCAACUGUUUAUUAAAAACACAGCACUGUGCAAACACGAAAGUGGACGUAUACGGUGUGACGCCUGCCCGGUGCCGGAAGGUUAAUUGAUGGGGUUAUCCGUAAGGAGAAGCUCUUGAUCGAAGCCCCGGUAAACGGCGGCCGUAACUAUAACGGUCCUAAGGUAGCGAAAUUCCUUGUCGGGUAAGUUCCGACCUGCACGAAUGGCGUAAUGAUGGCCAGGCUGUCUCCACCCGAGACUCAGUGAAAUUGAACUCGCUGUGAAGAUGCAGUGUACCCGCGGCAAGACGGAAAGACCCCGUGAACCUUUACUAUAGCUUGACACUGAACAUUGAGCCUUGAUGUGUAGGAUAGGUGGGAGGCUUUGAAGCGUGGACGCCAGUCUGCGUGGAGCCAACCUUGAAAUACCACCCUUUAAUGUUUGAUGUUCUAACGUUGGCCCCUUACCGGGGUUGCGGACAGUGUCUGGUGGGUAGUUUGACUGGGGCGGUCUCCUCCCAAAGCGUAACGGAGGAGCACGAAGGUUAGCUAAUCCUGGUCGGACAUCAGGAGGUUAGUGCAAUGGCAUAAGCUAGCUUGACUGCGAGCGUGACGGCGCGAGCAGGUGCGAAAGCAGGUCAUAGUGAUCCGGUGGUUCUGAAUGGAAGGGCCAUCGCUCAACGGAUAAAAGGUACUCCGGGGAUAACAGGCUGAUACCGCCCAAGAGUUCAUAUCGACGGCGGUGUUUGGCACCUCGAUGUCGGCUCAUCACAUCCUGGGGCUGAAGUAGGUCCCAAGGGUAUGGCUGUUCGCCAUUUAAAGUGGUACGCGAGCUGGGUUUAGAACGUCGUGAGACAGUUCGGUCCCUAUCUGCCGUGGGCGCUGGAGAAUUGAGGGGGGCUGCUCCUAGUACGAGAGGACCGGAGUGGACGCAUCACUGGUGUUCGGGUUGUCAUGCCAAUGGCACUGCCCGGUAGCUAAAUGCGGAAGAGAUAAGUGCUGAAAGCAUCUAAGCACGAAACUUGCCCCGAGAUGAGUUCUCCCUGAGACUUUAAGUCUCCUGAAGGAACGUUGAAGACGACGACGUUGAUAGGCCGGGUGUGUAAGCGCAGCGAUGCGUUGAGCUAACCGGUACUAAUGAACCGUGAGGCUUAACCUU
This 2902-nucleotide ribosomal RNA is filed under the name Klebsiella pneumoniae. Its description in RNAcentral is "23S ribosomal RNA". It matches the Rfam family "Bacterial large subunit ribosomal RNA". Lineage: Bacteria; Pseudomonadati; Pseudomonadota; Gammaproteobacteria; Enterobacterales; Enterobacteriaceae. RNAcentral also lists the same sequence under 5 other names. The record is from RNAcentral.